Molecule: ribosomal RNA, 599 nt
Filed under: Aureobasidium bupleuri
Lineage: Eukaryota; Fungi; Ascomycota; Dothideomycetes; Dothideales; Saccotheciaceae
Description: eukaryotic LSU rRNA
Rfam family: Eukaryotic large subunit ribosomal RNA
Source: RNAcentral
UGACCUCGGAUCAGGUAGGGAUACCCGCUGAACUUAAGCAUAUCAAUAAGCGGAGGAAAAGAAACCAACAGGGAUUGCCCUAGUAACGGCGAGUGAAGCGGCAACAGCUCAAAUUUGAAAGCUGGCCUUCGGGUCCGCAUUGUAAUUUGUAGAGGAUGCUUUGGGGAGGCCGCCUGUCUAAGUUCCUUGGAACAGGACGUCAUAGAGGGUGAGAAUCCCGUAUGUGACAGGAAAUGGCACCCUAUGUAAAGCUCCUUCGACGAGUCGAGUUGUUUGGGAAUGCAGCUCUAAAUGGGAGGUAAAUUUCUUCUAAAGCUAAAUAUUGGCGAGAGACCGAUAGCGCACAAGUAGAGUGAUCGAAAGAUGAAAAGCACUUUGGAAAGAGAGUUAAAAAGCACGUGAAAUUGUUGAAAGGGAAGCGCUUGCAAUCAGACUUGUCUAAACUGUUCGGCCGGUCUUCUGACCGGUUUACUCAGUUUGGACAGGCCAGCAUCAGUUUCGGCGGCCGGAUAAAGGCUCUGGGAAUGUGGCCCCCACUUCGGUGGGGGUGUUAUAGCCCAGUGUGUAAUACGGCCAGCCGGGACUGAGGUCCGCGCUCG